AGAGAGAGAACGAAAGAGAAUUAAAAAUAUGAAUCGUUCUGUCAGUCACCUCACGUAUAUAUAAUACAAUGUCAUAAUACUAUGCUGCCAUAUGAUAUAAAUACAUGUCUACGGAUAAAGGAAUGCAUGGAACGUCACUCAAUAAAUCGGCCAAAGACACAUCGUUCGAUUCUUACAUCUUUAUUUCUCAGAGAAUCGACAUUUACCGAUGAUCGUUAGGAGAACCAUUCAGUUACGUGCGGAACUUCCUCGCCAGCCAUUAAGUAACGCAAUGUUUAAUCCGAGACGCAUAAAUUCUGAGACGGCCCGGUGGAGAAUUAUUGUUAAAUUAAUCAUAUGAAUUUAAUCACUCUUGAUCAGUGCAUCUUCUUGCAAACAUGUUAGGCGUUAUUAUAGUCUUAAUUGCGAA
Long non-coding RNA from Ceratina calcarata, 409 nucleotides. RefSeq lists it as uncharacterized. The transcript has 3 exons. The record is from RefSeq and is a predicted model, not a curated record. NCBI's taxonomy places the organism in Eukaryota, Metazoa, Arthropoda, Insecta, Hymenoptera, Apidae.